UAGCCAGACUCCUACGGGAGGCAGCAGUGAGGAAUAUUGGUCAAUGGCCGGAAGGCUGAACCAGCCAAGUCGCGUGAGGGAAUAAGGCCCUAUGGGUCGUAAACCUCUUUUGUCAGGGAGCAAAGGCGUCCACGAGUGGACGAAAGGAGAGUACCUGAAGAAAAAGCAUCGGCUAACUCCGUGCCAGCAGCCGCGGUAAUACGGAGGAUGCGAGCGUUAUCCGGAUUUAUUGGGUUUAAAGGGUGCGUAGGCGGGCUUUUAAGUCAGCGGUAAAAAUUCGGGGCUCAACCCCGGCCGGCCGUUGAAACUGGGGGCCUUGAGUGGGCGAGAAGAAGGCGGAAUGCGUGGUGUAGCGGUGAAAUGCAUAGAUAUCACGCAGAACCCCGAUUGCGAAGGCAGCAUACCGGCGCGCAACUGACGCUCAUGCACGAAAGCGUGGGUAUCGAACAGGAUUAGAUACCCUAGUAA
This 468-nucleotide ribosomal RNA is filed under the name uncultured bacterium. RNAcentral's name for it is "bacterial SSU rRNA". It matches the Rfam family "Bacterial small subunit ribosomal RNA", at positions 328 to 793 of the family's 1533-position model. The record is from RNAcentral.